GAGUUUGAUCCUGGCUCAGGACGAACGCUGGCGGCGUGCCUAAUACAUGCAAGUCGAGCGAGCUGAACCAGCAGAUUCACUUCGGUGAUGACGCUGGGAACGCGAGCGGCGGAUGGGUGAGUAACACGUGGGUAACCUGCCCUAAAGUCUAGGAUACCACUUGGAAACAGGUGCUAAUACCGGAUAACAACAAUAGCUGCAUGGCUAUUGCUUAAAAGGCGGCGAAAGCUGUCGCUAAAGGAUGGACCCGCGGUGCAUUAGCUAGUUGGUAAGGUAAUGGCUUACCAAGGCGACGAUGCAUAGCCGAGUUGAGAGACUGAUCGGCCACAUUGGGACUGAGACACGGCCCAAACUCCUACGGGAGGCAGCAGUAGGGAAUCUUCCACAAUGGGCGAAAGCCUGAUGGAGCAACGCCGCGUGAGUGAAGAAGGUUUUCGGAUCGUAAAGCUCUGUUGUUGGUGAAGAAGGAUAGAGGUAGUAACUGGCCCCUAUUUGACGGUAAUCAACCAGAAAGUCACGGCUAACUACGUGCCAGCAGCCGCGGUAAUACGUAGGUGGCAAGCGUUGUCCGGAUUUAUUGGGCGUAAAGCGAGCGCAGGCGGA
RNAcentral lists this ribosomal RNA (603 nucleotides) under uncultured bacterium. RNAcentral's name for it is "bacterial SSU rRNA". It matches the Rfam family "Bacterial small subunit ribosomal RNA", at positions 9 to 579 of the family's 1533-position model. The record is from RNAcentral.